Long non-coding RNA from Lepidothrix coronata (blue-crowned manakin), 577 nucleotides. RefSeq lists it as uncharacterized. Lineage: Eukaryota; Metazoa; Chordata; Aves; Passeriformes; Pipridae. The transcript has 3 exons. The record is from RefSeq and is a predicted model, not a curated record.
UCAAAGGUUGGCCUUGAUGAUCUUGGAGGAUCACCUUAGUGAUCCUGUGACUAUAGCAAGCUCCUCUGACAGACCUAAGCAAGGGGAGAUGGUGAGUCAGAUCUGGGAUAUGUCUAGGAGAUUCCAGUCAGGAAUGGAGUCCAGGAGACUGGACUGGAGAUGGACCUACCCAGUGUUGGGAUCUGCACAAAAUCGUACCAGCCCUGAAUGAAGGUGGGAGAGUGGCAAAUGGGCUGCUGUGCAGAGACACAGCUGGAGAUCAGCUCCAAUACAGGGAAAAGAAUGUGGAUUAAGAGCUCCUCAAGUGAGAAAAGGAGAGAUGGAAAUGAAGGGUGUGCACUUCUGGUGUAUCCUCACCUUCGUGGAGAUUUCUACACGUGCUGCGUUAAAAACAUCCCGUUUGAGAGAUACAUCCAGUGCCUUCCACACCAGUCACAAACCUCUGCUGCACUUUGGUUUUGGAUUUCCCUCCCUCAGAGAUGAGGCAGAGCACGGGGAGCUGGAGCAGCACUUCACCUGCUGCCUUCCAAGGAGGGAACAAAGAGAGAUGUGGACGUGUUGGGAAAGCUCUGUGAUA